ACUCCUACGGGAGGCAGCAGCCGAGAAUAUUCCGCAAUGGACGAAAGUCUGACGGAGCGACGCCGCGUGAAGGAUGAAGGCCCUUGGGUCGUAAACUUCUUUUAUGAGGGAGGAAAUUUUGACGUUACCUCAUGAAUAGGGAGCUCCUAAUUCCGUGCCAGCAGCCGCGGUAAU
Molecule: ribosomal RNA, 174 nt
Filed under: uncultured bacterium
Lineage: Bacteria
Description: partial 16S ribosomal RNA
Rfam family: Bacterial small subunit ribosomal RNA
Source: RNAcentral